RNAcentral lists this long non-coding RNA (8961 nucleotides) under Ooceraea biroi (clonal raider ant). Its description in RNAcentral is "uncharacterized LOC105276094". Lineage: Eukaryota; Metazoa; Arthropoda; Insecta; Hymenoptera; Formicidae. The record is from RNAcentral.
UAAUAUAUAUAUAUAUAUAUAUAUAUAUAACAGUUCUUUAUGCUUUAUAUACCAAUAUAUUAAAGCGUGAUAAAAGCGAUACUCGAAUGAAUAUCGACAUUCCGUUAAAUUUAAACGUUACGUUAACAGAGAUCGACCAGUACUCGGAACGUGCUCGUUGUGAAUGAAACCACAGCCACGUUGCCGCGUGCAGCGGGGCUUGCAUAAGCAAGCAGUAUCCUGAGGCUGAAAGGUCACUACUACGCUACAGCUACAACGAGUACUCGGCGAGUAGCUGCUGCUGCUGUUGCUGCUACUACCACCAUCACUACCACCGCUGCCUGGCGCGUAGAAACCGGAAAGACUUAUUCGCAACGUGGCCCGAUGCGAUCGUUCGCGUUGCAUCUAUUCAGGUUGCAUUCAACCGCGUCGAGCGCAUCUGCAGCAUCGCUAACGAUACUGCAAUAUCACCGAGGUGUCGAGUAUUCGCACCUCGACCAACAAAUCUUCCAUCAACUUUCAUUGGAGAUUUUUAAGUAGACGAUAUAUGAAGAAAAAUAAGAGGAAACAUGUGAAUGAUGGAUACGUAUUUCAACUUUAAAUAAUUUUUCCAGAACAAUGAAAAGAAAGACUGAAACUUAUGCACGCUUUUAACAAUUAAUAUCAAAUAUAAGAAUAUUAAAUAUUACAAUAGAAUACUAAACAAAUUUUAAUAUCUUCUAGACGAUUCUUUUGAUAGAAUACAAACAAAUUUCGCGUAUUUUAAAAUUAUGUUUGAAACUUAUUUCAUAUCAAACUAAUAUACAACUUCUUUCAGGAAACGUUUACGCGUAUAUGAUAAAGUAAAAUAUUCUCUAUAUUGAGAAUUUUGACUUUUCGAAGAUUCAAUGGGGGAAAAAUGAUUCCUCGCCUCGCUCAGCGAACCACACGUGAGUCACGUGUAACCUUUGGUCUCACUGGAGCCUGUUAAUCCUACGUGCAAUUUGAUACAAGUAAAAGUGCACUCACAAUGCCGAGAACGUUUCGACGCUCGAAGUAAAGCUUUUCUUAACGUUCUUUUAACGCUUGAUAACAAGCCAGACUGCGAAGUCUCCUUUAAAUUUGCGCAAUGGUGGUAAACAGCGAACGACAAUGAUUGAGAAGCCAUGCUGAUUUCCAGCGAUUAUUCACGCUCGUUCGCGGCUGCAUCCUGGUGUACACGUGCGACUAAGAAGGCCUGUGCACAUGCUGACCAUAUGGUCGCGCAUAAAACAAGUUCAUGUAUGCAAGAAAAGCAAGGUCGCUACCCCCUGCGCACAAAUCGAUGUGACUUGACGACUCUGACAAACUUUCUGAGAAUAUUACACGUUCGUCUUGCACGUGUAUAAGAUUGAUUUUUUACUUUGAAAAUUAACUUUGUGGAAUAUUAUAUAUUGAAAACAUUAGCAUAUAUUUUAUACAUAGAAAAUAAUUUUAUUAUAUAAAAUAUCGUUUUUUUAUCGUAUAAAAUAAAUGUUUUAUCAUGCAAAACAGAUAUCGAUUGCUUGAAAAUUACCAUAAAUGAUUAUAUAUCACUUUUACUUUUCCUACUUUUAUUUUCGUUACUUAUUUCAGUGCUGUAUGAAAUUUUGCGUAGUAGCGUGAGACGGUCUGCGGGAGAUCGCUACUUCGAAAUUCCGAUGACGUCCAGAAUGGUUUUACGAGGAGAAGCACAUACCAACGCAUUAGAGCCAAGACGAUAUUGAACGAUCGAACGGCGCAAUCCGACUAGGCAUCGUCGCCGACAACAAAGAGUUUAUGCUAAUGCCGCGACGUGCAGCGAUUUCGCCAUUACAGACACGUGCAUCUGAGAUUCCACCGUCUCUUGUGAAAUGUCAUUCCUCGCCUCCGGAGAUUAUAUCGAAUUCCUACCUAUUGAAAUUCCCAUUCGUAGGUUGACGUGUCAUUAUUAAUGAGAAUAAAAUAUAAAAGCACAGAUAUUAUUUAAUAUCCGGUAAUCUUAUCUAUAAAACAAUUUCCAUAACAUACAAUCAGGAAAUUUCCAUGAGAAGGAAGAUAAUUAACAUCGAACGUAAGCGAAUUAUUAGCCACGUGUAGCUAAUUAAAGCAUAAGAGCUUAGCCAGAAGAGGCUCGGACAGGGAGAGAGCGAAUUCAUAUUCGGGUCACUGAUAAGGGAAGGAUGUGAGUCGUUGGGGUCACUAAUGACAGGUUGAAUAAAUUAUAUCGACGUUUAUGCGUUACGGGAGCAACGUGCUGAAAAGCUGCGGUGCUGUUCUCAGGGAUUGCCUGGCGAGAUAUUUAUAUCUCGCCUGCUGUUGGUGAGCGUGAGCAUCACCGGCAUCGCCAUCCCUCUCGUCUUGCCUUUCGUGCACGCCACGGUGAGUCGAUGGAGAUGCGACGACCGCCAAAAUUCACUCCACUUUUGCGACAUCAUAACGAAAAUAUUUACCCGACGCGAGUGCAACAACGAGCCAACGUUCUGCUACGAUACCUCGAAGGAACUUGAUCGCGGGCUUUCUCUCGCCCGAGGAACAAUGUAGCUGAUGAACGACGCCCGCCUGUGAAAAUGCCGAGGAGACUUCGGCCUAGAUUCCUAUCGAACCACUCUGGUUUCAAAGUAGUGGAAAUCCAACGACGAAAAGCAAGAGUCUAACUUUCGCUUUAGCUUGAAAUUAUCAGUGAUGCAAGGUGGAAUUUCAACUCUUGCUUCAGCUUGAAAUUAUCUUGAAUAGAUUUGAACAUUAUAAAAUUUCGUUAUUACGCGAUGCACAGAUCGCGAACUAGAUCGCGAAUGUGAUGAUCUAUUCGCGUACAAUUGUACUUGCAAUGUUUCGCGAACGAUACUUUGCAAUGUGUUUUCACCGUGCUAUUUUUACAGUGAGCGAAACCGGCUACAUUAAGUAAAGUCGAUUAGCGCGACUUUUUAUCGCGGUGCAUUCGUUCAGUGGCACUUCUUCCGCUCGGGUUAGAUCUAACUAGGCCUGAAGUCGUGCUCGAGUUAACGCGCCAUGAAGAAGCCGGAGGAAGCACGUGGGCACCCUUAAGGAUGCACAGUCGUUCCUCAUUAGCAACGUUUACGCCGUUGAGAGAAAAAGAUGUCGACAUAUAGCUACGUAGGCUGUAACUUCCACCCAGUUCGCCCAUUCUUCUCGAUCUUCGAUCAUGAAACUUUACUUCCCGUCCGCAUUUCACGAAAUCUUCUGUUUAUAAGUUACAAAGUAAUUUAUAUGUAUUUAUAAAAGUUACCUUUUAAUUCAAACUAUUUGAAGUUGCUCUUGAAUUAAAUUUCAAGGCAAUUUCAGCUAUCUUUUAACUUAGUAUGAGAUAACUUAAAUUAUUUGUUGCUAAAUAACUGUUACUUGAGACGACACAAGUUACUUAAGCUACAGGAGAACGUGAGCGAUUUUGAUCGAGUUACGUUUGGUAAAACUGCUGGUUGAACUCACGAAGUUAUCCUUUAGCCGGCUGUCUUCGUUGACUUGGCGGCUUGAUCAAUAUUGCGCGCGUGAGCAAGACACCAGACUGCACCGGAGAAUCGGCUUGCCGGACCGUGCCGGUCGACAAUUAGCGAUCGGCUUGCACUGACCCUCGAUCUAGUACGCCUCGAAUUUCACGCUCCCGAUAUCGUGCUCGACAUGCCGCUCGUUUGCGUCGGGUGAAAGCAGAUGAUUUAUACGCGGAGUUCCAGGAUACUUGGCGAACGAAGAUGUUAUCGAUUUUUUUUGUUUGUAGAUUUCUCUACCUCCUCCCCCGCUUUUCCUAAUUACUUCUAUGAAUUCUCUUCAGGAUUCCUGGAAUCCCGCGGUAUCUAACGCGACCGGCGAAUCUCACGUUGAAACAACGAGGAACGAAUGCUACGUUCAUCGAAUAAAGAUCGGUCCCGAGGAUAUUUUCGUCGACCCUCGCUUCAAGUUAAAUCGGCGGGAACGAGCGUCGGGGUGCAACGCGGCGGUUCCUUCGAUCGUAGGACCUACCAACCCCUCGAUAAUAAAAGGGAUGACGUCAUAUACCACGUCCGUCGAUGUAACUCACUGUCUCGGAGUGAACACAAAAUUCGUGAGUUGAGAAUCAGUAAAUUCGAAAACAGUUUUAACAAUGCUGCAUAAGAAAUUCAUAAAUACAAAUUAAAAAUCUAUAAAACCGAGAGAUCUAAAAUUAAAUCAUGGAUCUACUGAUGCCAGGAUAUAAGUUUAAGAAUCUGUAAUAUCGAGGCUGCAUCGGCGGCUGUUAGAGCGCCUCUUGAACGUAUUUGCGUUGCGCGUAUACUUCCGGUUGCUCUCACGCAACAUAUAUUUCUGUCGCACGCGAUAUCGUAACUGCGCCGCGCUGGAAAUCGAUGGAUUCAAUAUCAUAAACCGGUCAGUUGACCUUGUUGUCAUGUCUGGCAUUUCGAAAAGAAUAUUUCAAAAACAACGAGUAUAGCAAAACGAACGACUCACUUAUCGACUUAAAGCAAUUAUCCCGCAAUACUGCAGCUUGCAUCCACAGAGAUGGAGUCUCAUAUAAGGAUCCAGUUAGACUUCUAAUCCAGAAGAUAGUCAUUAAUCCUGAGCGUUUUCUCUGUCAGAGUGCAAUGUAUUAUUUCAAUUUAUCGAUCUAUCUAAUUUACACAAUCUGUGGACCACAGAUUUUACAUUAUCUUAAAUCAUAAGAAUUCUUGUUUUUUAAAUAUGUUAUAGUAUAGUUUCUUGAGAUAUUUAUUAUAUUAAAUCUAUUUGUCUGCUUAAAUUUUUUUUACUUGAAUCUACGGAAAUCCUUUACUCAAUCUACUUGAAAAUUAAAUUACUUAAAUAAAAUUGUACGUGCUUUCUGAGGAAUGACGUUGACUGCAACUCGAAUCGAGGAGAAUAACGAGCUGGGCGCGACUAAUUACCAGAAGAGGUUUCUCGAGAAAGGAAGGACCAGAAGGAGGAAGACAAAAGCUGCGGCUGCGGUGGACAGUAGCACAAAGUAUCGAGUAACAUUCGUCAUGGUGAAUGCGGAGACGUCGACCUCGGAUGCAUCCCGGUCCGGCUAGCUCGGUUGGUUGUACGUGCAGACGUACGUGUAGCUAUAUACACGCGUGUGUACGCGUCGGGUGCACACGCGAGCGUUUCCCGGCACGGCAGAUGCGCGUCUACGGACAGAUUUAACCCUCUUUGGUAAAUAAAGGCAGCUUUUGUAAAUUGGAGCAAUGAAUCGAGGGAGGGAAAAAGCGAAAAUGAAGACAAUAACUUUAUGGACGAUAUCGCUAUAAGGCAUGUUCCUCUCUUCUUAUUCUUACUCUUCUUCUUCUUUACGAGUACGGAAAUACCAAACGGCGUGCCGAAAACUCGUGAUCGUGUAGCGCAAAGGGCUGGCUGGAUUUUAACGUGGUGCAAACCAUACUUGCGAAAGGUCAGUGCACCGCAGUGUGCUGGUGUACGGAAUUAACUUAACUACGGUACACCACUCAUAAUCACUGCUUGUUUCCAGAUUCGCGAUUUCUCGAUGCAUGCACAAGCUCUCUCGUAUCGCUCGAUGUGGAGAAAUAUCAAAUGACUUUAAUACUCGUCGAUACAGUCCUGAUGCGAAUGUACCUUUGCGCGUGUAUCUUUGAAUCCGUACAUUCCCAUUGCAUCAAUAGAUUCAUAAUUUGAUGCCGGAGAUCUCCUCGAUUCAUAGUCUCAUAGAAUUUUAAUCUAAUUUAUUUUUAGAUCAAACAGAAUUCGAAUUUGUAAAUUUUUAAACAAUUUACACACGAUAAAAGGACUAAAUGAAUCAUAGCGAGGUACAUAGUUAAGUUAUAGUAAAUAUGCGAUGAAUUCCUGCAUUUAUUCACAAAUGCAAUUGAUUAAACGCGUCAAUAAAGUAGCAAAAAAAGAGAAGUGUGUUUGUUGAAAUCGGCGUCACCUCUCGUGGGAAGUGCCUUGAUAACGAUAAAAAGCAUAGUAUGACGCAGCAUCAGCAAACGCCCACAUACUAUGGCAAGAGCACCCGAGAGGUAUCGAAACUUUAUUGAAUCGUGUCCUUUACCCUCGAAGUGUCCCCUCCGCGAUCUAUUUUCCCGAUAAUUAAACUCUCGCGUUAAUUAGCGAUUGUAACGAUGCGGAUACUUCGGCCAUUGCAGGUGCCAGAUUUCAGAUUUACUGGAAUUACUUACUGAUAUAUUCGCAAAGUUUAAUUGAGGGCAAAUUCGCGCGGCGUAUUUACAACUGGAUUAUUAUCACAUUAUUUUACACGUGACUCACUUGAGAAAAUUUAAGUGGAUCGAAUUCUAUUCGUAUCGUUUCAAGGACUCUUGAAGAAACUGCGAUACCACGACAUUAAUAGCGAUCGCGAGACGAUACAUCGAAGACGCCGUAAUCUGCUUAUCUCGCGGCUAAAUAUUUGCGCUUCGCGAUACGCGCUUUUCGCGCACUGCUGCGAACCGUAACUCGGCAAAACGGAUUACACUCACUCCUUUUCAUCGCGGUUACUCGUUUCGCGGAUAUGCUUCCGUGUUAUCGUUUACGCGGAGAUAUCGCGAGCUAAACAAAGUAUACGCGUGCAAUGCAAUGUAUAUUGCGUUGCACGCGAAGAUAUUUAAGUUACUGACAGUGCAGAAAAGAAUGCAGUCUACACUGCGGAAAUCAGAAAGCUCGAAUGCAUUUAAAAUAAGUCCUAAAUUUCUUGAUAGAAAAUUCUCAAAAUCUCUCAAAAGAAUUUUGAGCAUAUAUUUCUCGAGUCAUCGUCGUCUCAUCACAAAAUAUCCCUUAAAAAUAGUCUGUAUCGACACGGUUCGUUUUAUGUUCCAGAACAUCCGUUCGCACUGAAACAGAUCUAUUGAGCAGUGUCAAUAAUUGUGACACAGAGUGUGUGUCAACGAAUGUGACGGCUCUUAGCCUAGUUUCCACGAGCGGUGCGGACUCUCUCAUGGAGUUGAAUUGUGUGGGUCUUCGUGCAAACGUGGAUUAAACCGCAACCAUAUAAGAUUCAACAGCGGAACUAUAAUCGCAUAACUGAGCGGUUUUCCUGAAGGAAAUGGGAUAGUUCCAGUUGCUUGCAUUCACUUACUUUUCCGGAGGAAAGAGUUGGCAGUUUCAAUCUUAUUGUAACAAGAAAAUUGAUAGAGGAACAUUCGUAGAGUCAAUUAUCAUCGAAAAAUGUUUAAAUAUCUUUGUAUAUUUCUAAAAAUCUUCUUAAACAAAGAAAAACACGUAACUACUUUGUUGCUCUGUCGACAAUAAGGUUUGAAAUGCACCCAAAUAUGAUUACUGACGAAGAUUAAAUUGUGUACACUGCGUGUGCUCCGCGUGAUCGGACGAAGCUUGCAGACGCACUCGCGAAGUGCAGAUUACACGAGAGCAAAUUCUCCUCACUGAAACGCUGAGCUUGCGGAGUACGUACGCGAAUAAGCGGCCCGUUGUAAUAAAAUAAGUCGUUGUCAGCCACUCGCGGCUUAAAGCCGGAUCAAUGACGAUAUUAUCUGAAUAAUUCCUAUAAACGAGACCAUGUCUGACGACAACUCGUCAAAUUGAGUCGGUGAAUGAAGUCCCAACGGACUGAUCCCUAUCACUCGCACGCGAUAUAAAAAUCGGCCUCGAGCGAAAUCACGUGUUUGCAUGUUGAUAAAUUUAGCCUGAUUAUAAUUUCGACUUGAUUUUGUAAUUUACAAAAACUUUAGUAUUUUCUAAUUAGUAAUAUUAUUUAUUUUAGUGAAUUUUUUAGUCUUAAUGUGAUAUAUUAAUAACAUUAUAAAUGAUAAUAUUAAUAAUUAUUGUUAGCUAUCAAUAGCGGCACGGUUAUAAUAAUUAUAACAAUAACAUUUAAUUAUGUUAUUAAUAUUAAUAAUAUGAUUUCCGUGAAAACACAGUCUCUUCACGAACUUUGUUUAGGCUUGGAAUAUUGACCUCGAUAAUGCGACGUCAUUCGUACGGGUUUCGAGCCACAUGGCUGGGAAAUAUGCAUGGCGACCCGGUUUUGCUGGUCCUCGCGUGGUCAAGAAACGCGGUCAAGUAUUAUUGCGCGAGUAGAACUAUUGUGCAAGAGAAGGGAAACACGAUAUCGUGUUGCUGCCAAUUUUUGGUGGUGAACGAGGCAAAGACACCAGAGAAUCCUCUUUCUACGCCAACUCUGUAAUUCCCCGGUGAUUUCCCACGACCCUCGUCGAACCGUGAGCACCAUAAAGGCCGCACACUAUCGAUUUUGCAUCGCGCGUCUUUUUCCGUCACGCCACGAGAGUCCAUGAAGUUUCUUGGGCACGUGUACCAGAUGGGGAUGCAUUAAAAAUACCCUGAUCAAUCAUAAUGUUAUCAAUUUUCGUUUCGUAUCUGAUACAUUAAAAGUAACAUCUAUUUUCAAUUCCAGUUUACUAGUGGUUUUUUCAAGUUCUAUCUAUUUUUGUUCUAAUUAUUUCUGUUUUGUAAUAAUUAAUCAUUGCUUUAAAUAAUUUUCUAUUUAUUGUAAACUAACACUAUCGUAUAUAUUUUACAGAUAAUAUUUCAAGAUUGAUAAAUUUAAGAAUCAUGAAGAAUUAACGUGAUGUGAUCUUACGUCAUUCAGAAGAAUCCGAAUGACCGUAGGCUCGAAGAGCACAUCGUUUUGUAACGCCGCGAGGGAAAACUACGCAAACGAAGGACGUAGAAUAUCACGAGGCGCAGCAUAUCGCGCGUGAUAGAAUUGCGCGCGAGACUGCAACGGGCAAUUACGUAACUUUGUCUCGUUGUCUUUGCAGAAAUUUUACGAAGUGGAGUGGAUAUUCACGUUGGGUCGCCGCGACACGCGGUCGACCUCAUUCAAGAUAAGAUUUUGUUGGUAACCGUCAGCCAAGGGGAUCCACACCGGAAGAUGAUCCAAGAUUAGCCAAAUAACCGUGAUACGAAGAAGGGUCGUAGAGUACUGCCGGUUGCAUUCUCCCUCGGGCUACAUCGGGAAUGGCAACAAAAGCAAGAGAGAAUAAAUGGCACUCAAUUGGGCCACAAAGAUGCUGAAAAAUCUCUGCAUCCAAGUAAUAAAGUUACGGAAUCAGAACUAUAUAAUUAAAACUUAGUUAUCUUACAAAA